CGAAUCACCCGCAGCAAGAGCGACAUCGUUGAUAUAUACAGAGAAAAAGAGUCGGCCCGGGAAUUUGACCCUGUGGUACCCCCAUAGAGACUGCCAGAGGUCCGGACAGCAGGCCCUCCAAUUUGACACACUGAACUCUGUCUGAGAAGUAGUUGAUGAACCUGGCAAAGCAGUCAUUUGAGAAACCAAGGCUGUUGAGUCUGCCGAUAAGAAUACAGUGACUGACAGAGUCGAAAGCCUUGGCCAGGUCGAUGAAGACGGCUGCACAGUACUGUCUUUUAUCGAUGGCGGUUAUGAUAUCGUUUAGUUCCUUGAGAAUGGCUGAGGUGCACCCGUGACCAGCUCGGAAACCGGAUUGCACAGCGGAGAAGGAGUGAUGGUUGCUGAUAAUGUCACGGCCGUCGUCGGAAUGAGACCAAGGUGCAGCGUGUCCGUCAUCUGUUUUGUCUGAUGAUUUCCUAACCCGUUUUCACUGCUUGCCCGGCUCCCCACCUCAAGACG
Oncorhynchus keta (chum salmon) is the source of this 501-nucleotide long non-coding RNA. RefSeq lists it as uncharacterized. The record is from RefSeq and is a predicted model, not a curated record. Lineage: Eukaryota; Metazoa; Chordata; Actinopteri; Salmoniformes; Salmonidae. The transcript has 3 exons.